Molecule: transfer RNA, 75 nt
Filed under: Proteinivorax tanatarense
Lineage: Bacteria; Bacillati; Bacillota; Clostridia; Eubacteriales; Proteinivoracaceae
Also listed under: 4 other names
Description: tRNA-Glu
Rfam family: tRNA
About the family: Transfer RNA (tRNA) molecules are approximately 80 nucleotides in length. Their secondary structure includes four short double-helical elements and three loops (D, anti-codon, and T loops).
Source: RNAcentral
GGCCCCUUGGUCAAGUGGUUAAGACACCGCCCUUUCACGGCGGUAACAGGGGUUCGAGUCCCCUAGGGGUCACCA